Molecule: long non-coding RNA, 917 nt
Organism: Spinacia oleracea (spinach)
Lineage: Eukaryota; Viridiplantae; Streptophyta; Magnoliopsida; Caryophyllales; Amaranthaceae
Exons: 4
Source: RefSeq, a predicted model, not a curated record
UUCCUAAAAGUUAGUCGCGCAAUAUUUCAGAACCCUAUGAAAACCACCCCAAUACCUCUGCUCGCAAAAACCCGCAAACCCUCUCUACCGCCGCUCUGCACCGUCGUUUUUCACUCUUCAGCGCCUCUCCCUUGCACCUCUUUCCGGCGGCCUCCCAACCUCCGGUAAAACUCUCAAAAAACCACUCCCUCUGCUCGCAAGAAAACUCGCAAAACUCUGCACCGCCGCUCUGCACCACCGCUCCUCACUCUGCACCGCCGCUCCCUUGCACCUCUUUCCGUCCGCCUCCCAACCUCCUGUAAAACCCGGCUUCCCCACCGCUUCCACGAGUGGUACCGGCUAUCUGAACUUUCUCUUGGAACUGAUUAGUGGAAGAUUGAAGUUGAUCAAACAAGGAGAUUCUUUAUUUUUGGUAAUGUUGUUGUGGUUAUUGUUUCUUUUUACUCUUUGUUUUGGAACUAUCGUGGAAUUGGACGAGUUUUUAUUGUGUGUUUCCUAGUGGACUUGGAUUCCGUACAAAGGGCAAAACACAAAUACAAGGCUGCCUGAGAGAGGUGACUCAGUUGCUACUCAGGCUGGCUAUUAGCAGGUUUUCAUUUCAUCCAAGGUCAGAGAUUCAUCAUAUAUAGAGACAUGAUGGGACAUCUAUUUGGGAAGAAAUUGUACUUUGUAACAUGGUUUCUUCAAUUUUCAACCUUCAUUUUGGUAAAUAUGGGUUUCAUCCUUCUCUGAGGCAGAGCACUGAAGGUAUGUCUUUCAUUUUACCUGUGAGGGGGUCGAAAAAGCACGAGGCUAAUGCGUGACCUCGUCCCUCGUGGGCGUGACGUUGUCAGAUCAAGUGUAAUUGGAUUUCCUGUGAGUUUACACCUAAUUGACUAGUAAUGUAGGAGUCGCCAUUCAGUUUUUGAAGGAAAUAA